UCUAUUAUGGCAGAUAAUAAUGCAAUGAAUUUAAAAUUCAUUUAUAAAUAAAUUUAUUUUUUUAGAA
This 67-nucleotide transfer RNA is filed under the name Alchisme sp. CPL-2004. Its description in RNAcentral is "tRNA-Leu". Lineage: Eukaryota; Metazoa; Arthropoda; Insecta; Hemiptera; Membracidae. The record is from RNAcentral.